This 77-nucleotide ribosomal RNA is filed under the name Sacculina oblonga. RNAcentral describes it as "partial 5.8S ribosomal RNA". Lineage: Eukaryota; Metazoa; Arthropoda; Thecostraca; Sacculinidae. The record is from RNAcentral.
CAUUGGGCUCCCAUGGCAGUGGAUCACUCGGCUUGUGGGUCGAUGAAGACCGGGGUAAAACCCGAGAGUGUUUGCGA